GCGCAGCAGGCGAGAAACCUCCGCAAUACACGAAAGUGUGACGGGCCAUCCCGAGUGCCGUCCGCUAAGGACGGCUUUUCCCCAGUGUACAUAGCUGGGGGAAUAAGGAGAGGGCAAGCCUGGUGUCAGCCGCCGCGGUAAUACCAGCUCUCCGAGUGGUGGGGACGCUUAUUGGGCCUAAAGCAUCCGUAGCCGGCUGGGCAAGUCCUCCGUUAAAAUCCAACGAUUCAAUCGUUGGGCUGCGGGGGAUACUGUCCAGCUUGGGGGCGGGAGAGGCCGACGGUAUUCCCCGGGGUAGGGGUGAAAUCCUAUAAUCCCGGGAGGACCACCAGUGGCGAAGGCUGUCGGCUAGAACGCGCCCGACGGUGAGGGAUGAAAGC
This 380-nucleotide ribosomal RNA is filed under the name uncultured microorganism. Its description in RNAcentral is "bacterial SSU rRNA". It matches the Rfam family "Archaeal small subunit ribosomal RNA", at positions 330 to 711 of the family's 1478-position model. The record is from RNAcentral.